Vitis vinifera (wine grape) is the source of this 353-nucleotide long non-coding RNA. RefSeq lists it as uncharacterized. The record is from RefSeq and is a predicted model, not a curated record. The transcript is spliced from 2 exons. Lineage: Eukaryota; Viridiplantae; Streptophyta; Magnoliopsida; Vitales; Vitaceae.
UGAUUACAACCCGACGUUUGACGCUCAACCCUAGCCCUUCCCUUGUAGCUCUCUAGUCUCAAUUGCAACCGGGAGGACAAUUAGCAAUUAUUAACUUGGAGUCCCAUGCAGCCUUGCUUGCAGCAAAACAAAUGCAUUUUCACAUCUUCAACAUAUGCUGCCACUAAAUAAUGUAUUACUAUAUUAUAAAAUGUCUUGAAAAUGGGUGAUUAUUAAUAGGAGCAUCAACAGACAAUCUUAUAUAUGGGGUAGUAUGGAAUGUGCAAUUGCUGCUACAUGUAUUCAUACAAAAAGAUGUUGAUAUAUUUGAGGCAAUGUAUCUUAUAAUUCAUAACAGUAUAUUAAUUACCUCA